RNAcentral lists this ribosomal RNA (329 nucleotides) under uncultured eukaryote. Its description in RNAcentral is "partial 18S ribosomal RNA". It matches the Rfam family "Eukaryotic small subunit ribosomal RNA", at positions 1470 to 1796 of the family's 1831-position model. The record is from RNAcentral.
CCCUUAGAUGUUCUGGGCCGCACGCGCGCUACACUGACGGUGGCAACGAGUUUUUCCUUCGCCGAAAGGUGUGGGUAAUCUUUUGAAACAUCGUCGUGCUGGGGAUAGAUCAUUGCAAUUUUUGAUCUUGAACGAGGAAUUCCUAGUAAGCGCGAGUCAUCAGCUCGCGUUGAUUACGUCCCUGCCCUUUGUACACACCGCCCGUCGCUACUACCGAUUGAAUGGUUUAGUGAGGACCCCUGAUUGGCGCCGCCGCCCCGGCAACGGAGCAGCGGACUGCCGAAAAGUUGUUCAAACUUGAUCAUUCAGAGGAAGUAAAAGUCGUAACA